CCCUUAGAUGUUCUGGGCCGCACGCGCGCUACACUGACGAAGUCAGCGAGCAUGUCCUACGCCGACAGGUGCGGGGAAUCUUGUCAAACUUCGUCGUGAUGGGGAUUGAUUAUUGAAAUUCUUGAUCAUCAACGAGGAAUUCCUAGUAAGCGCAAGUCAGCAGCUUGCGUUGAUUACGUCCCUGCCCUUUGUACACACCGCCCGUCGCUACUACCGAUUGAAUGGUUUAGUGAGAUCUUCGGAUUGGCGCCACUGCGGCUCAGCAAUGGGCUCGGUGGAUGCCGAAAAGUUGUUCAAACUUGAUCAUUUAGAGGAAGUAAAAGUCGUAACA
RNAcentral lists this ribosomal RNA (331 nucleotides) under uncultured eukaryote. RNAcentral describes it as "partial 18S ribosomal RNA". It matches the Rfam family "Eukaryotic small subunit ribosomal RNA", at positions 1470 to 1796 of the family's 1831-position model. The record is from RNAcentral.